RNAcentral lists this ribosomal RNA (242 nucleotides) under Klebsiella pneumoniae. RNAcentral describes it as "partial 16S ribosomal RNA". It matches the Rfam family "Bacterial small subunit ribosomal RNA", at positions 1 to 237 of the family's 1533-position model. Lineage: Bacteria; Pseudomonadati; Pseudomonadota; Gammaproteobacteria; Enterobacterales; Enterobacteriaceae. RNAcentral also lists the same sequence under 1 other name. The record is from RNAcentral.
ACUUAAAUUGAAGAGUUUGAUCAUGGCUCAGAUUGAACGCUGGCGGCAGGCCUAACACAUGCAAGUCGAGCGGUAGCACAGAGAGCUUGCUCUCGGGUGACGAGCGGCGGACGGGUGAGUAAUGUCUGGGAAACUGCCUGAUGGAGGGGGAUAACUACUGGAAACGGUAGCUAAUACCGCAUAACGUCGCAAGACCAAAGUGGGGGACCUUCGGGCCUCAUGCCAUCAGAUGUGCCCAGAUG